Molecule: ribosomal RNA, 1039 nt
Filed under: Stenostomum sp. 'bigmouth'
Lineage: Eukaryota; Metazoa; Platyhelminthes; Stenostomidae
Description: eukaryotic LSU rRNA
Rfam family: 5.8S ribosomal RNA (bases 475-628)
Source: RNAcentral
GGUUAGUACUGCGAGAUCUUUCGAAGGUUUAUCCAUGUUGUUGUUAAUCUUGUAGCUGUGAUGAUGCUAACAUUACUACUGCCAGGCGUGCUCGGCGAGUCGCUCGGCUAGCAGGGUCAGGUGGGGACCUGGAAGCUAGAUCCGAGUCGGCCUCCGCGCCAGGCGGCGAACCAAUUCCAAUUGGUGAGGUACCUAGAAGCACUCGGGCGAAAGCUCGAGGCGCAAGUGCCAUGACUCGUGCGUUCUGUUUCGCGAGUCGAGAGCGCAAGGUUCAAAGAGACUGGUCUCGAGUCGGUCGUUGUUCACUACUUCGGCUGACUGGCUCUUGGUGUGACUAUGCAUGGGCGGCCCGGCCGUUCGGUAUAGCAAUAGCAAGAGUUCCCAUCAUGAGACUGGCCGCCUCACACUUUUCACUUCUUAUUGAAUCUUCUUGAUUGAUUGAAAGCAGAAAGUUAACACGGGAAAUUGAAAUACAACUCUAGGCGGUGGAUCACUCGGCUCGUGCGUCGAUGAAGAGCGCAGCAAACUGCGUGAAGUAGUGUGAAUUGCAGAACACCUUGAUCAUCGACAUCUCGAACGCACCUUGCGGCCGAGGUUUCAAGCCUCGGCCACGUCUGUCUGAGGGUCGGCCUACUCUUAGGAGUAACCGCUGUGCAAGGCGGUUUGUUCAGGAGUUCCAUCUGGAUCUGGCUUGCUUGUCUUAACAAACAAACGGCCGGAAUCGGAUGCUCUUGUAAAUUGUCGAACAGCGCCAGUGUCUAUCUGUCUGUGUCUGCCUGCGUCGUUGACCGAUGCGUGGGUAGUGCAGCAGGUAGAAAAUGCAAAGCGAAGCGAAUCGAAUCGGCGCUCGUUGGCAGGUCUCUGUCGAUGCGUAAGCAGAGAACUCGGCUGUCACUGAUCUACCGUGUCCGACAGGAUAUGGUAGUAGCAGUCGGGGUGCUGACGAAGCUGACCGAGCGACUAACUAAGCGCUUGCGUGUCUGGUGCGCAGCAAUGUCAAGUUAUGACAAUAUUCGGCUCAGUCGCGAAUCAAUCUGGG